This 301-nucleotide ribosomal RNA is filed under the name uncultured bacterium. RNAcentral describes it as "partial 16S ribosomal RNA". It matches the Rfam family "Bacterial small subunit ribosomal RNA", at positions 509 to 807 of the family's 1533-position model. The record is from RNAcentral.
CAGCAGCCACGGGAAUACGUAGGGUGCGAGCGUUAAUCGGAAUUACUGGGCGUAAAGCGUGCGCAGGCGGUUCGUUAAGACAGAUGUGAAAUCCCCGGGCUUAACCUGGGAACUGCAUUUGUGACUGGCGAGCUAGAGUAUGGCAGAGGGGGGUAGAAUUCCACGUGUAGCAGUGAAAUGCGUAGAGAUGUGGAGGAAUACCGAUGGCGAAGGCAGCCCCCUGGGCCAAUACUGACGCUCAUGCACGAAAGCGUGGGGAGCAAACAGGAUUAGAUACCCGCGUAGUCCCUGUCUCUUAUAC